Molecule: ribosomal RNA, 870 nt
Filed under: Psathyrella aff. delineata
Lineage: Eukaryota; Fungi; Basidiomycota; Agaricomycetes; Agaricales; Psathyrellaceae
Description: partial large subunit ribosomal RNA
Rfam family: Eukaryotic large subunit ribosomal RNA
Source: RNAcentral
ACUGCGAGUGAAGCGGGAAAAGCUCAAAUUUAAAAUCUGGCGGUCUUUGGCUGUCCGAGUUGUAAUCUAGAGAAGUGUUACCCGCGUUGGACCGUGUACAAGUCUCCUGGAAUGGGGCGUCAUAGAGGGUGAGAAUCCCGUCUUUGACACGGACUACCAAGGCUUUGUGGUGCGCUCUCAAAGAGUCGAGUUGUUUGGGAAUGCAGCUCAAAAUGGGUGGUAAAUUCCAUCUAAAGCUAAAUAUUGGCGAGAGACCGAUAGCGAACAAGUACCGUGAGGGAAAGAUGAAAAGAACUUUGGAAAGAGAGUUAAACAGUACGUGAAAUUGCUGAAAGGGAAACGCUUGAAGUCAGUCGCGUUGUCCGGAAAUCAACCUUGCUUUUUGUUGGGUGUACUUUCUGGUUGACGGGCCAGCAUCAGUUUUGACCGGUGGAAAAAGUCCAAGGGAAUGUGGCAUCUUCGGAUGUGUUAUAGCCUUUGGUCGUAUACAUCGGUUGGGACUGAGGAACUCAGCACGCCGCAAGGCCGGGUCUUUGACCACGUUCGUGCUUAGGAUGCUGGCAUAAUGGCUUUAAUCGACCCGUCUUGAAACACGGACCAAGGAGUCUAACAUGCCUGCGAGUAUUUGGGUGGAAAACCCGAGUGCGCAAUGAAAGUGAAAGUUGAGAUCCCUGUCGUGGGGAGCAUCGACGCCCGGACCAGAAGUUUUCUGACGGAUCUGCGGUAGAGCAUGUAUGUUGGGACCCGAAAGAUGGUGAACUAUGCCUGAAUAGGGUGAAGCCAGAGGAAACUCUGGUGGAGGCUCGUAGCGAUUCUGACGUGCAAAUCGAUCGUCAAAUUUGGGUAUAGGGGCGAAAGACUAAUCGAACC